AACGUAGGUGGCAAGCGUUAUCCGGAUUCACUGGGCGUAAAGCGCACGCAGGCGGCUUGGUGGGUAGGGCAUGAAAUCUCCUGGCUUAACCGGGAGGGGUUGUCCUAUACCGCCGGGCUUGAGGAUGGGAGAGGGAAGUGGAAUUGCCGGUGUAGUGGUGAGAUGCGUAGAGAUCGGCAGGAACACCAGUGGCGAAGGCGGCUUCCUGGCCUAUUCCUAACGCUCAAGUGCGAAAGCUAGGGGAGUGAAC
Molecule: ribosomal RNA, 250 nt
Filed under: uncultured bacterium
Lineage: Bacteria
Description: partial 16S ribosomal RNA
Rfam family: Bacterial small subunit ribosomal RNA
Source: RNAcentral